AUUGAACGCUGGCGGCAGGCCUAACACAUGCAAGUCGAGCGGAUGAAGGGAGCUUGCUCCUGGAUUCAGCGGCGGACGGGUGAGUAAUGCCUAGGAAUCUGCCUGGUAGUGGGGGAUAACGUCCGGAAACGGGCGCUAAUACCGCAUACGUCCUGAGGGGGAAAGUGGGGGAUCUUCGGACCUCACGCUAUCAGAUGAGCCUAGGUCGGAUUAGCUAGUUGGUGGGGUAAAGGCCUACCAAGGGGACGAGCCGUAACUGGUCUGGAAGAAUGAUCAGGCACGCUGGAACGGAGACACGGUCCAGACUCCUACGGGAGGCAGCAGUGGGGAAUAUUGGACAAUGGGCGAAAGCCUGAUCCAGCCAUGCCGCGUGUGUGAAGAAGGUCUUCGGAUUGUAAAGCACUUUAAGUUGGGAAGAAGGGCAGUAAGUUAAUACCUUGCUGUUUUGACGUUACCAACAGAAUAAGCACCGGCUAACUUCGUG
RNAcentral lists this ribosomal RNA (484 nucleotides) under uncultured bacterium. RNAcentral describes it as "partial 16S ribosomal RNA". It matches the Rfam family "Bacterial small subunit ribosomal RNA", at positions 30 to 507 of the family's 1533-position model. The record is from RNAcentral.